AAUAGAUACCCCGGUAGUCCACGCCGUAAACGAUGAGUGCUAAGUGUUAGGGGGUUUCCGCCCCUUAGUGCUGCAGCUAACGCAUUAAGCACUCCGCCUGGGGAGUACGGCCGCAAGGCUGAAACUCAAAGGAAUUGACGGGGGCCCGCACAAGCGGUGGAGCAUGUGGUUUAAUUCGAAGCAACGCGAAGAACCUUACCAGGUCUUGACAUCUCCUGACCGCCCUGGAGACAGGGUCUUCCCUUCGGGGACAGGAUGACAGGUGGUGCAUGGUUGUCGUCAGCUCGUGUCGUGAGAUGUUGGGUUAAGUCCCGCAACGAGCGCAACCCUUGUCCUUAGUUGCCAGCAUUCAGUUGGGCACUCUAAGGAGACUGCCGGCUAAAAGUCGGAGGAAGGUGGGGAUGACGUCAAAUCAUCAUGCCCCUUAUGACCUGGGCUACACAUGUGCUACAAUGGGCGGUACAGAGGGUCGCGAACCCGCGAGGGGGAGCCAAUCCCAAAAAACCGCUCUCAGUUCGGAUUGCAGGCUGCAACUCG
Molecule: ribosomal RNA, 537 nt
Filed under: uncultured bacterium
Lineage: Bacteria
Description: bacterial SSU rRNA
Rfam family: Bacterial small subunit ribosomal RNA
Source: RNAcentral